AGCAGCCGCGGUAAUUCCAGCUCCAAUAGCGUAUAUUAAAGUUGUUGCAGUUAAAAAGCUCGUAGUUGAAUUUCGGGGUCAGUAGGUUGGUCAUGCCUUUGGUAUGUACUGGUCUCACUGAUUCCUCCCUCUUGAAGAACUGUAAUGUCAUUAAUUUGGUGUUGCGGGGAAUCAGGACUGUUACUUUGAAAAAAUUAGAGUGUUUAAAGCAGGCUUACGCUUGAAUACAUUAGCAUGGAAUAAUGAAAUAGGACGUUUGAUCCUAUUUUGUUGGUUUCUAGGAUUGACGUAAUGAUUAAUAGGGAUAGUUGGGGGCAUUAGUAUUCAAUUGUCAGAGGUGAAAUUCUUGGAUUUAUUGAAGACUAACUACUGCGAAAGCAUUUUGCCAAGGAUGUUUUCAUUAAUCAAGAACGAAAGUUAGGGGAUCGAAGACGAUCAGAUACCGUCGUAGUCUUAACCAUAAACUAUGCCGACUAGGGAUCGGAUGAUGUUAAUUUUUUAAUGACUCAUUCGGCGCCUU
RNAcentral lists this ribosomal RNA (520 nucleotides) under uncultured Glomus. Its description in RNAcentral is "SSU rRNA". It matches the Rfam family "Eukaryotic small subunit ribosomal RNA", at positions 569 to 1089 of the family's 1831-position model. Lineage: Eukaryota; Fungi; Glomeromycota; Glomeromycetes; Glomerales; Glomeraceae. The record is from RNAcentral.